RNAcentral lists this long non-coding RNA (390 nucleotides) under Fukomys damarensis (Damara mole-rat). RNAcentral describes it as "lncRNA (ENSFDAG00000025295.1)". Lineage: Eukaryota; Metazoa; Chordata; Mammalia; Rodentia; Bathyergidae. The record is from RNAcentral.
CUGUUUUUCAUAGUGUGUGGUUAAUCUCAGAUUUAGUGAAAACUUACCGUUUGGCCAGGUCGGAUUUUCCCUGAAGUAGAAAAUACUGUACCUGUUAUGGCUUCCCUCAGCUUGGGCCUGGGGACCGAAUAUCACUCCUUUGCCACGUGGAGGCACAAGGUGUAAAAGGAAAGAAGUGGCAAUGUGUCCCACUUUCAUGACCGACUAAUGAAACAGAGGGUCAGACAGAUCCUUUCAAGGCUGCUGCCGAAGAACAGCCAGAAGGCAUAGAAGUUGACCGAGUCCCUCAUGGCCAAUGUGAUGUCCCAAGCCUGGCAUUUCCUGGGACAGUUUACAGACUCAUUUGGACACAGCCCAACCAGAACAGCUCCAGCCACUGCAUUCAGUGGG